Long non-coding RNA from Nerophis ophidion (straightnose pipefish), 467 nucleotides. RefSeq lists it as uncharacterized. The record is from RefSeq and is a predicted model, not a curated record. NCBI's taxonomy places the organism in Eukaryota, Metazoa, Chordata, Actinopteri, Syngnathiformes, Syngnathidae. The transcript has 5 exons.
GCAGCGAGAGAAGACAACAAACUACUACUAUCUGCCUCAUCAUUUCUUCGUUCGUUACAGAUCGGGCAGCAUUUAUCAUCUGGCUGGAUAGUUCGGGUGCAGGUCAAAACCGGGCAGAUUACUGGAUCACAGAUUACAGUUCGCUUCUACAAAGAAGAAGAAACAAGCUGCAGGAGAAACACUUGUCAUAGUUGGGAGUCCAGUUGGAUCCGUGAGCAUGGUGCUGGUUCUCAAAGAAGCAGCAGCGGCAGCUGUGAGUUUGGCUCCUCGGCUUCUCUCUGAGACACUUCGUGUUCACUGCAGCCAUCCGACCUCAAGUAACUUCACUGCGGAGACUAUAAAUAAACAACAUCAAGUUGGAAGUUGCUUUCUCUACUUUGAAAGGCUUUUUACCUAGCUGCCAAACUAAAUUACAAAAUUCAGGGAGGGCAGAAUAAUAUAUGUAAAUAAACCAAUGGGUGUACAAA